Molecule: ribosomal RNA, 519 nt
Filed under: uncultured eukaryote
Lineage: Eukaryota
Description: SSU rRNA
Rfam family: Eukaryotic small subunit ribosomal RNA
Source: RNAcentral
AGGGCACCACCAGGAGUGGAGCCUGCGGCUUAAUUUGACUCAACACGGGGAAACUCACCCGGCCAGGACACAAUAAGGAUUGACAGAUUGAUAGCUCUUUCUUGAUUUUGUGGGUGGUGGUGCAUGGCCGUUCUUAGUUGGUGGAGCGAUUUGUCUGGUUAAUUCCGAUAACGAACGAGACUCUAGCCUAUUAAAUAGACGAUAUAUUAUUAGUUUAUCGAGCUUCUUAGAGGGACAGGCAGCUUCUAGCUGCACGAGAUUGAGCAAUAACAGGUCUGUGAUGCCCUUAGAUGUCCGGGGCUGCACGCGCGCUACAAUGAUAAUAGCAGCGUGCAUUAAAACCUUUUCUGGUAAGAAUUGGUAAACACGAAAUAUUGUCGUGCUUGGGAUAGGGGAUUGAAAUUAUUGCCCUUAAACGAGGAAUUCCCAGUAAGUGCGAGUCAUUAGCUUGCGUUGAUUACGUCCCUGCCCUUUGUACGCACCGCCCGUCGCUACUACCGAUUGGAAGAUUUAGUGAAU